GCAGGCGGCAGCUACACAUGCAAGUCGAGCGGUAACAGAUCCAGCUUGCUGGAUGCUGACGAGCGGCGGACGGGUGAGUAAUGCAUAGGAAUCUGCCCGAUAGUGGGGGAUAACCUGGGGAAACCCAGGCUAAUACCGCAUACGUCCUACGGGAGAAAGGGGGCUUCGGCUCCCGCUAUCGGAUGAGCCUAUGUCGGAUUAGCUAGUUGGUGAGGUAACGGCUCACCAAGGCCACGAUCCGUAGCUGGUCUGAGAGGAUGAUCAGCCACAUCGGGACUGAGACACGGCCCGAACUCCUACGGGAGGCAGCAGUGGGGAAUAUUGGACAAUGGGGGGAACCCUGAUCCAGCCAUGCCGCGUGUGUGAAGAAGGCCCUCGGGUUGUAAAGCACUUUCAGCGAGGAAGAACGCCUAGCGGUUAAUACCCGCUAGGAAAGACAUCACUCGCAGAAGAAGCACCGGCUAACUCCGUGCCAGCAGCCGCGGUAAUACGGAGGGUGCAAGCGUUAAUCGGAAUUACUGGGCGUAAAGCGCGCGUAGGUGGCUUGAUAAGCCGGUUGUGAAAGCCCCGGGCUCAACCUGGGAACGGCAUCCGGAACUGUCAAGCUAGAGUGCAGGAGAGGAAGGUAGAAUUCCCGGUGUAGCGGUGAAAUGCGUAGAGAUCGGGAGGAAUACCAGUGGCGAAGGCGGCCUUCUGGACUGACACUGACACUGAGGUGCGAAAGCGUGGGUA
Molecule: ribosomal RNA, 732 nt
Filed under: Vreelandella aquamarina
Lineage: Bacteria; Pseudomonadati; Pseudomonadota; Gammaproteobacteria; Oceanospirillales; Halomonadaceae
Description: bacterial SSU rRNA
Rfam family: Bacterial small subunit ribosomal RNA
Source: RNAcentral